UCCAAACCUGCAAUCACAGCUUCAUACUCUGCUUCAUUAUUAGUUACAGGGUGACAUUUUAUAGUUUGUCUAGUUGUUUCACCCGUAGGUGGUAUAAGAACAAUUCCUAAAUCUGCCCCUUUUAUAUUAGAUGAACCAUCGGUAAAUCAUAGCCAAGUCCCCGGAUUAACUCCGUUAAAAGCUUGUAAUUCUUUUUCUGCUUCUAGAUGUAUGCUUUGACUAAAAUCAGAUACGAAAUCAACGAGUACUUGAGAUUUGAUAGCAGUUCGAGGUUGGUAAAUUAUUUCGUACUCACUUAAUUCUAUAGCCCAUUAUACUAAUAUUUCCUACUCUACGAUCUACGAAAUCAGCGAUACUUGAGAUUUGAUAGCAGUUCGAGGUUGGUAACUUAUUUCGUACUCACUUAAUUCUAUAGCCCAUUUUGCUAAUCUUCCUGAUAAUUCAUAUUUAUGCAAUAUAUUUCUUAAAGGAAAAGCAGUAACAACCACAAUAGGAUAACAUUGAAAAUAAGGUCGUAGUUUUCUAGAUGCCAUGAUGAGAGCUAAUGCUAAUUUUUCUAGUUGUGG
RNAcentral lists this long non-coding RNA (566 nucleotides) under Nicotiana benthamiana. RNAcentral's name for it is "long non-coding RNA (NBEN_LNC024301)". The record is from RNAcentral. Lineage: Eukaryota; Viridiplantae; Streptophyta; Magnoliopsida; Solanales; Solanaceae.